Long non-coding RNA from Thunnus maccoyii (southern bluefin tuna), 759 nucleotides. RefSeq lists it as uncharacterized. The transcript has 2 exons. NCBI's taxonomy places the organism in Eukaryota, Metazoa, Chordata, Actinopteri, Scombriformes, Scombridae. The record is from RefSeq and is a predicted model, not a curated record.
GAAGCAGCAAGUCAACGUUUACGACUGAUUUCGCUGAAAACUUCAGCCAAAAUUUGAGCUAUUCGUGUCUUUUUAUGUUUGUAGUGAACGAAACUCACAAGACUUUUCAUUUUUCGAGCUGAUAUUUAUCUGCUGGUCUUAAGUAAGUUUGUUCCAGACAUUUAAUUCAGCUGUUUUUCCGCUGUGGAACCGAGACAAUGUUUUAUCUCUGAAUGCGAUAACAUUGGUAAUAUUAAUCGGUAGUAACAACAAUGAACAAAAACAAAUGGACAUACUGCUCUCUCCUGCAUUUGUGAGUGACAGUCAACCACUGUAGCAUUGUUGUCUCUAAUCUUGUCAGACAGAUAAACUGAUUCAGAUAAACAAAGCCACGCCAGACUUUGUCAGAUAAACAGUACGUUAGACACAGAUGUGCACGAUGUAACUCAGUGAAUAAAUUAAAAUGUCACUCAGUAAUAUUUGAAGUGCGAGUUAUAUAAAUGACUUGUGUGGAAAUUCUGCACCUUGUUGUCUGAGCUGUCUCCUUGAACUGGUCUCAUCUUCAGUCCUUCAGUGCAUCGGUGUAACAUGGUGAGCGUCUGCCCAGACUCUUCAGGUUCAUCUCUCCUCUGGUCAGACCACGACCAGCUAGACUUUUUGUUUGCCAUGUCUGUAUUAACUUUGUGUAUUCAUCAGCAUCAUCAACAUGUGCAUAAGCCUUCAUAAACCAAUCAUAUUGGCUGUGUUAUGUAUGAUUUGAUUAAAUGAAUUGAAUUAUAA